Molecule: unclassified non-coding RNA, 327 nt
Filed under: soil metagenome
Description: partial contains 5.8S ribosomal RNA, internal transcribed spacer 2, and large subunit ribosomal RNA
Rfam family: 5.8S ribosomal RNA (bases 1-120)
Source: RNAcentral
GAUGAAGAACGUAGCGAAAUGCGAUAAGUAAUGUGAAUUGCAGAAUUCAGUGAAUCAUCGAAUCUUUGAACGCACAUUGCGCCCCUUGGUAUUCCGAGGGGCAUGCCUGUUCGAGCGUCAUAUUAACCACUCCCGCUUGCGGGGUCUUGGGCUUCGCCUCCGGGCGGGCCUUAAAAUCAGUGGCGGUGCCGUCGGGCUCUACGCGUAGUAAAUUUUCUCGCGAUAGGGUCCCGGUGGAUGCUUGCCAACAACCCCCAACUUCUUAAGGUUGACCUCGGAUCAGGUAGGGAUACCCGCUGAACUUAAGCAUAUCAAUAAGCGGAGGGA